RNAcentral lists this long non-coding RNA (225 nucleotides) under Lathyrus oleraceus (garden pea). RNAcentral's name for it is "Pisum sativum (pea) long non-coding RNA (PSAT_LNC032457)". The record is from RNAcentral. Lineage: Eukaryota; Viridiplantae; Streptophyta; Magnoliopsida; Fabales; Fabaceae.
UUGUGUCUUAAUACCCCUCCAACGCUCACCAGCAUAUCCAAGUUAUUUCUUUUUCAGCAUUUUAUCCUCUUGAACAAUAAUAUCUUUAUAUGUUUACAUAAUAUAGUUAAUAUUAGUAUUAAACCAAAAAAAUAAAUGGUCAUCUAUACUUAUAAAACAAUCAUAAAAUUCAUAAUAAAUACUGUAAUAUUGGUCCAUAUGCUAUCUUUCAAAUCAACAUCAACA